Molecule: long non-coding RNA, 3712 nt
Organism: Triticum dicoccoides
Lineage: Eukaryota; Viridiplantae; Streptophyta; Magnoliopsida; Poales; Poaceae
Exons: 3
Source: RefSeq, a predicted model, not a curated record
UCCCCUCGAUAUGCUUCCCAGGUCGAUCCUCAGGACGCCCCAACGGCGAGAGCCCUUCGCCAUCGCCGAGAUCCGAGAGGAGCCGCCUCCACCGAGGUCCGGGAGGAGCCGCCGCCACACCGUCUUCCUCCCCCGCCAACCUCCGAGGCGCCCUACUCGUGGGACACCGCCGCCUCGCGGAACCCGAGGGCAGGGCAGGGCAUGAUAGCGUUGGGGUCGAGGUCCAAGAUCGCUGCCGCCGAGGUCCAAGAUCGCCGCCAUCGACCUCUGAGAUCGCCAUCCCUUUCUAUUUCUGGUUCGCUGGCCUCUCUCCCUUUUCCCAAUCUCUCUCUUUUGUGCGCAUACAUUGCUGCCGGCGUCCACUACCGGCCGCCUCCGUCGUCGAUUGGUGCCCCCAUGGCGCUACUGACUCCGACGAGAUCUCCUAUUUCCAACAUAUGCAGCCGCCUCGCUGUUCUGGCCCCAUGUGCGGCCCCGUGGCUAACCCUAGCCACCUCUAUCUCCGACGGUGGCGCCUCCUCUUCCUCUUGCAGUCCCGUCCUCCUCCUUGCUGGUGCUCCACACGUAUAUCCGAAAGUGACGGCGACCGACAGGCUGUGGGCCUACCAGAGGGCGCGUGGUCGAUGCUCACGACAAUGGUGGGCGUGAGCAUGGCACAGGCAGCGGCUAGGUGCGUGCGGGUGGUAGCCGGCGAGACAUGUUGAUGUUCAUCCGGGCCACACAGUGAGUAUUCUCUGUUUAUGUGAACAUAGAUGCAUCAGCCAUAAGGCUGCACCAUCUCCAAGUAUUUGUGGGUCAAUCGCAGUGCAGGUCCUCUACUAGGCUGGUCUGGUAGUGAUUUCAGGUAAGAAUGCUCUCUCCUCUUUGCAGUUAAUUAAAUAGAUCUGUUAGCUGCUUGACUGCUACAACUGAUUGUAUCACCGGCCGGUUACUUUGGGUGAAUUGGGUAGAACAAAUUACGCCAUGUAUGUUCCAUAUCAUUUUGUUCAACGCUUGUGCUUUUCGUAAUUGGGAGUCUCCAAGUUUUGAUUCCAUUUAUUAGAAAGAUUGCUACUAUCUGCUUGAUGAAUGGAAUGUGAAGAUUAUAUAAAACAGUAGGAUUUUCAGUUUGUAUGCUCGUCCAGUAACUGAUUUUUUACAGGUUUCAUGAUACAGUAAUUGUGCAAAUGUGUUAGACUUUCUAAUUACUUUUACAGUUCCAUUUAAUUGUUAAACUUCUAAUGGGCAUGCUUCUCAGAUCCAAGGCAUGGAGAACUCCAAGGAGUUUGCUGACAAGCUGUUCGGGAUAUGUCGAGGCAGAGGAACAUUGAGCCAGAUGAAGGCAUUAACAAGGAUCGGCUCAGAGAGGUCUAGACGGAGAUUACUGACCACAUCUUGGACUAAGCUAUGUUCAGUUUAAGUCAAUUCUCUUCCUCCUUCAAUUGCCUUCCUCCUUCAGCAAGGAUCAUAUACUGCCCACGCGGCAGCGCGAAGCAGAAGGGCCACAUUGAUUUGUAACGACACGUGUAAUGGAAGGACACCUUCGGGAACAAGCUCACCGAGGUCUUCGAAGUCCAACCUAGGGGAAGCUGAUAAACUGCGGUUGCGGGUGCAGCUAGAUGCUUACAACACUUGCAUCAUUGAGGUACUUGCUCUUCUACCAAACUAAACUAACUGCAUCAUGUGCCGCUGGGAAUGGCAUGUUACAGUGCCAUGUUACACCUCCAGUCCCUCAGGAGUCUUAUUGUGGUGAUCUUGGUCUAAGACCAAUGGUCUUGGAUUACGAAGCUCGGCUUGGGAUUCUGCUACUGCUCUAAUUUGGUGAGGAUUCUGAUGGGAGACGAUAUUUGAAAACAUAACUUUCCCCAAGUAACUCCAACGGUUAUAUUGACAGACUAUCAAAGUAACGCCAUAGAGAGGCAUACUUGAUGUGUGGCAGAGGUAAGGUUCUAUUAGUGUUCUUCUGAUCUUUAGCCUCACAAUCUGCACCUCUCCAAGAAUAAAAUUAAUUCAUGUCUUUCUAUAUUCUUCGGUAAAGCAAACUUGCAUAAAAACAAUGUAAUUUCCCUUUUAGAUGAGAAAAAUAAGACGAAAAAGGGUAAUGUCCCGUUUAGAUGAUUGCCAGGUUUAUUUUAGUUUGCUAUGCUUCCACUCUUUUUGCAACUGCAUCAUGUGCGGUUUCUAUAGCUCCACUUCUACAACCUAUCGACGCGUUUGGUACAUCGCAGGUAACGUAUUCAGUUUUUCGCAUCGGAAAGCGCUGCGUCGGAAUACUUUUACGUAAUUAGUUCAUUGUUUGGUUUGUGCGCCGGGUCCCGACUUCUAACCCAUCCCGAUUUGGGCGGUUUUGAUUUUCUGAACUGCCGUAUCAGAAAGCGUUGUUAGGGGAACCAUCGCUCCCGAAACAAACACUCGCUACGGUUUCAGAGAACGCUGCAAUCGGAAGACGGGCUUUUUUCAGCGAACCAAACGCGUCAUAUGAUUGUUGUGACAUACUGAUAGGAUCCUUAACAAAACAGCUACACUUCUCAUUAACAUUGCAGCGGCCAAGCUCUUCGGAUCAUUCUUCUGAGCGAUUAUUUCACAUACUUCAAUUUGUUGUAUCCUUCAUAAGUGGAUUUUACCCUAAGAAAUAGUAAGUUGUUAUGUUCAUCAGUUGAGAAGUCUUGCACCAUAGUACAGUGAACAAGAAGCUUAUUGAUUUUAUUUAUUUGAUGGUUAUUAGGCUAAGUCAAAGUACUAGCGGGAUUUAUGAACAUCAGGUCACCUUUUAAAGGGUCUCUGAAAGAAGUGGUUAAGGAUCUGUAAUUGUGCCGUGGUAAAAUUUACGGAUGUUGGUGUUUCUUUUCAAGCUAAUAUGUUUGUUUACCCAUUUGGUUCAUGUUUUUGAUACUAAAAUUAGUUUUCUAUUCCACGUGGAUAAUUUGAAUCAGUUCAUCAGACUACAUGGUGAAACAUGCAUAUUGUUUAUCUAAACAUUUAUUGGUCAUUCGUUCACCAAUCACGAGAUCUCUGAAUUUCGAAGGCAAAAUCGUAUUUAGUGAGAGAGAAUGAGGAAUUGUUCUUUCGUAAAGUUUUGCCAGUGUGAUUGUGUUUUAUUUCAAGAUUCUUUCAUUAUGUACCAUGUGUCUCACUAGAAUAAUAUAAUUGUGUACUUAUUUAUAAUUUCUUGCAGAUAUUAUGCUUGGACACAAAGUGCAUGUAAUGCUUGCAACUGGAGUUUGGUUUUUUUACUUCUUCCGCUGUUAUUCCCCUCUCAAGUUCUUGGUUCUUGAAGAUACUUGCUAGGUUUCUAGCUGAAAUUUGUUGGUAGUAUAAUCUCGAUGUAUAUGGCCUUAUUUUAUAUUUCAGGGUGUAUGACCUGAUUUAGACUAUGUUGACCAGUUGUGUUAUGAAGUUUUUUACUGUAUGGCUGCCUCUUGAAAGAGUUCAAGAAUUUUUUCUAUGGGAGAGAAUAGUUGUCAUUAUCAUAGGAAUGUCAUUAAGUUUCUUACUUACCAAUAACUAAAGUAUGGGAGAGAAUAGUUGUCGUUAUAGUAUGGUUCGAUGGAAUAUGUUUUAUGUGCAUUCUACAAGGAUAAUUUCAUUCUCUAUUUCAAAUUAGCUUUUCAUUUCCUCAAAGUACUCUGAGCAAUUAUAUAAGUCCCUUUUUGUUAUGAAUGGAAGCGAGCAAUUUUACAAGCCUUUUUUGUGAUGAAUGGAAGGGAGAAUGUUCUAUUUUCACCUUAUAAAC